CAAUAGCGUAUAUUAAAGUUGUUGCAGUUAAAAAGCUCGUAGUUGGAUUUCUGGUAGGAGUGACCGUUCCGAACUUGAUUGUUCGUGUAUUGUGUUUUCUCCAGCCAUCCUUGUGGAGAACUUUUCUUGCAUUAAUUUGUAGGGAUUGGGACCCGCAUCGUUUACUGUGAAAAAAUUAGAGUGUUUAAAGCAGGCAAUCGCUUGAAUACAUUAGCAUGGAAUAAUAAGAUAGGACUUUGGUACUAUUUUGUUGGUUUGCAUACCAAAUUAAUGAUCAACAGGAACAGUUUUAGGAUAUUCGUAUGAACAUGUCAGAGGUGAAAUUCUUGGAUUUUGAUCAGACGAACUACUGCGAAAGCAUUUAUCAAGGAUGUUUUCAUUAA
Molecule: ribosomal RNA, 383 nt
Filed under: uncultured eukaryote
Lineage: Eukaryota
Description: partial 18S ribosomal RNA
Rfam family: Eukaryotic small subunit ribosomal RNA
Source: RNAcentral